AUUGAACGCUGGCGGCAUGCUUUACACAUGCAAGUCGAACGGUAACAGGCCUUCGGGUGCUGACGAGUGGCGAACGGGUGAGUAAUGCAUCGGAACGUGCCCAAUCGUGGGGGAUAACGCAGCGAAAGUUGCGCUAAUACCGCAUAAGCCCUGAGGGGGAAAGCGGGGGACCGAAAGGCCUCGUGCGAAUGGAGCGGCCGAUGUCAGAUUAGCUAGUUGGUGGGGUAAAGGCUCACCAAGGCGACGAUCUGUAGCGGGUCUGAGAGGAUGAUCCGCCACACUGGGGCUGAGACACGGCCCAGACUCCUACGGGAGGCAGCAGUGGGGAAUUUUGGACAAUGGGCGCAAGCCUGAUCCAGCCAUGCCGCGUGCGGGACGAAGGCCUUCGGGUUGUAAACCGCUUUCAGCCGGAAAGAAAUCGCUGUUUUUAAUAGAGGCAGUGGAUGACGGUACCGGAAGAAGAAGCACCGGCUAACUACGUGCCAGCAGCCGCGGU
Molecule: ribosomal RNA, 496 nt
Filed under: uncultured bacterium
Lineage: Bacteria
Description: bacterial SSU rRNA
Rfam family: Bacterial small subunit ribosomal RNA
Source: RNAcentral